UAGUUUACCGAGUCGUGCAGGAUGAAGAACCGUAGAGGUUCGAGCAUCGCGUAGCGAUACGACAACGCGCGGCGUUGCCCGCAGGGUGAGGCCACAGGCCGAAUCAAUCCUGCACGACCCACCC
This 124-nucleotide small RNA is filed under the name Serratia marcescens. RNAcentral's name for it is "RtT sRNA". It matches the Rfam family "RtT RNA". From Rfam's summary of the family: This family represents a bacterial cis-regulatory element known as RtT RNA. The exact function of RtT is unknown although it is thought that it may be involved in changing the cellular response in relation to amino acid starvation. The record is from RNAcentral. Lineage: Bacteria; Pseudomonadati; Pseudomonadota; Gammaproteobacteria; Enterobacterales; Yersiniaceae.